Molecule: ribosomal RNA, 1322 nt
Filed under: metagenome
Description: bacterial LSU rRNA
Rfam family: Bacterial large subunit ribosomal RNA
Source: RNAcentral
AGUGGAUGGGGAGCAACCUAGUUGUGCGUGUGUAAAGGUAGUGCCAAGAAAAGCGAUGAUCAUGUUGAAAAUCAAUUCCCGGUACCCGAAACCGACACAGGUGGGCAAGUAGAGAAUACUAAGGGGCGCGAGGUAACUCUCUCCAAGGAACUCGGCAAAAUGACCCCGUAACUUAGGGAGAAGGGGUGCCACCGAGAGGUGGUCGCAGUGAAGAGGCCCAGGCGACUGUUUAGCAAAAACAUAGGUCUCUGCAAACUCGAAAGAGGAGGUAUAGGGGCUGACGCCUGCCCAGUGCCGGAAGGUUAAAGAAGUUGGUCAGUUUUAGGAUGAAGCUAGCGACUGAAGCCCCGGUGAACGGCGGCCGUAACUAUAACGGUCCUAAGGUAGCGAAAUUCCUUGUCGGGUAAGUUCCGACCCGCACGAAAGGCGUAACGAUCUGGGCGCUGUCUCGGAGAGAGGCUCGGCGAAAUAGGAUUGUCUGUGAAGAUACGGACUACCUGCAUUUGGACAGAAAGACCCUAUGAAGCUUUACUAUAGCUUGGAAUUGUGUUCGGGCUUCCUGUGCGCAGGAUAGGUGGGAGGCGUAGAAGGUAUUCUUGUGGGGAUACUGGAGCCAACGGUGAGAUACCACUCUCAGGAGGCUAGAAUUCUAACUUAAUUAAGGACAGUUUCAGGUGGGUAGUUUGACUGGGGCGGUCGCCUCCAAAAAGGUAACGGAGGCGUACAAAGGUUCCCUCAGACUGGUUGGAAAUCAGUCGAAGAGUGCAAAGGCAGAAGGGAGCUUGACUGCGAGAAGUACAGUUCGAGCAGGGUGGAAACACGGUCUUAGUGAUCCGACGGUGCUGUGUGGAAGGGCCGUCGCUCAACGGAUAAAAGUUACUCUAGGAUAACAGGCUGAUCUCCCCCAAGAGUUCACAUCGACGGGGAGGUUUGGCACCUCGAUGUCGGCUCAUCGCAACCUGGGGCGGAAGUACGUCCCAAGGGUUGGGCUGUUCGCCCAUUAAAGCGGUACGUGAGCUGGGUUCAGAACGUCGUGAGACAGUUCGGUCCAUAUCCGAUGUAGGCGUGAGAAUAUUGAGAGGAGCCUUCCUUAGUACGAGAGGACCGGGAAGGACGCACCGCUGGUGUACCUGUUAUGAUGCCAAUUGUAAACGCAGGGUAGCCAAGUGCGGAGAGGAUAACCGCUGAAAGCAUCUAAGUGGGAAGCCCACCUCAAGAUGAGUAUUCUGGUGUAAGGUCACGGGAAGACGACCCGUAAAUAGGCACGAGGUGGAAGUGCAGAGAUGUAUGAAGCCGAAGUGUACUAAUAGACCGUCGGCUUG